This 598-nucleotide ribosomal RNA is filed under the name uncultured fungus. RNAcentral's name for it is "eukaryotic LSU rRNA". It matches the Rfam family "Eukaryotic large subunit ribosomal RNA", at positions 138 to 621 of the family's 3401-position model. Lineage: Eukaryota; Fungi. The record is from RNAcentral.
CCGAAUUGUAGUCUAAAGAGGCGCUAUCGGACACGAGUUUGUUGUACAAGUUCCCUGGAAUGGGACAUCACAGAGGGUGAGAAUCCCGUCUGGACAAUGGACAAGUGGCCAUAUGAGGCGUUCUCAAAGAGUCGAGUUGUUUGGGAUUGCAGCUCUAAAUGGGAGGUAUAUUUCUUCUAAGGCUAAAUAAAGGCAAGAGACCGAUAGCAAACAAGUACCGUGAGGGAAAGAUGAAAAGCACCUUGAAAAGGGAGUUAAAAGCGCGUGAAAUUGUUAAAAGGGAAACGAUUGAAGCCAGUAGGACCAUGGAGAGUUCAGCGGUACCUAUCGAGUAUUGCUGCGAUGAGAGUGCUUAAUUGUACCUCUAGCAGUGUGCGCAAAUAGACUAUCGUGCAUUCUUUCCAUGGUUAGUCAGUGACAAUUUGAGUUGCCGGAAAAGGACUUUGGGAAGGUGGCCAUUGCUUCGGUAUUGGCUUUAUAGACCAUCGUAGAUACGGCAGUUUGGAUUGGAAUCGGCAACAGCUAAUCGGAGCGUCAUAUCUGCAGUUGUGGACACUUGAGAAUCAGUAGAGUCUCAGGUGGUAUCUAUCUGGGAAAC